Acinonyx jubatus (cheetah) is the source of this 2623-nucleotide long non-coding RNA. RefSeq lists it as uncharacterized. The record is from RefSeq and is a predicted model, not a curated record. The transcript is spliced from 2 exons. Lineage: Eukaryota; Metazoa; Chordata; Mammalia; Carnivora; Felidae.
GCCACCAAGUACUGGUGUUUGCUUCACGGAUUUGCCCAUUUCACCUUCACGCUUGGGUAUGUUUCGGUGCGUCCCCACCGUCUGUCCGGGGAUGUGAACACCCAGAGGGCCCAAACCACGUCUGUUUAAGUCCCUCUGGGUCCUGGGUGGAGUAGAUCCUGGCUUAACAAGAACCUUGAACAGGGAGGGAGGUGAUGUUACUGCUCCCUCACCUGGAGCAGGCUUCUCUGUUUCAACUCCAUAAACUGUGAAGGCGACAAAGCCCUUUCUGUAUUUUGCGAGAGAUACAGUUUGCAAAUGAUCUCAUUACCCCCGCAGCCAUGAGCAGAGUUAUGUCGGGCCUUUCUAACAAGUGGCAGUAAAACAUUUUAUAGGCCCCUCUGCCCCCCUCCUUCCCCCACCGUGUAAUUUGCUCUGUUUGGGGUUGAACUUGGUGUUUUCCCUCUUUCCCUUCUCUUUCUCCUUGCACUUUCUCUCAUGUUAAUUAUAUUAGUUGCCAUGGAAACAGUGAUGUCAUUGGCACGGGAGCGCUCAAUGACAUCCAAAAGCACAGUUUAUAGCAUGGCUUGAAAUUUAUUCCAUGGCUCGCAGCCUUGAGGGGGGUUAUAUGGCGAUUAUAUCGCGGGCACCAUCUGGGCGCGAGGGUGGGAAGGGGUGGAGAGUAGCUGGGCUGUGGGGUGCUUCCCACAGCCCCAGAUAUUGGGGGGCCGUUCCAUUUGGACACCGUGGAGGACACCUUGGGUACCGUGAAGAACUGUCUCUUCUUGGCUUUUGCCAACACUCGCUACCUCACAGCACCCCGCCCCACGUUUGUCCCCAUUUUAGGAUUUCAGAACCCUGCAUGGGGCGGUCUCAAAAGUGCUUAACACAAGGGCGGGGUGUGUGUGUGUGUGUGUGUGUGUGUGUGUGUGUGUGUGUGCGCGCGCGCGCGCGCGCGCGCACCCGCUCGCACAUGUGCUUGAAGCAUCAAACCAUGCUGUUAGUAUGAAACUGUGAUCCGCAGCGUGCAGCGCACGUUACUUCACACACACGGCUCGCAUACACAUGCACACACUUAUUUGCCCAUCUGUACUUCAUUCUAGAAGGUGCAGUGGCAUGCACAUUACUGAGUUUUGUGCCAGAGCCCCCAUCCUCCACAGCUCACUUCUGGAGCUGCAGGGGCGGGGUGGGGAGCAGGGCCGCGUCCGGAGACAAUGCGGUUGCGGUCGGGGGGUCGGAGCGCCGCGUGCAUACCCUUGCAGGGAGAUGCGCCAGGUGUGGGCCUGGCGAGCUCGCCCCCGGGCUGGGCCUUCCGUUAUUCGGUGGGAGGCCUCCGUGUCUCGAUCUGACACCGAGCAGACAGGCCCCGAGGCGGGAGCCACUCGGCAGGGUCCCCUCUUCCUCCCUGGGGACCCGUGGACGUGUUUUUCAGUUCCUGUGCUAAGUAUCACCUUGAGUUUGCCGAGGGAGCGCGGCAAACAGCGCGCAGAGCUAAAGGGGACCUCCAGGUGUUCCUCAUCAAUUCUGGAGCUCUUGUGUCUCAGAUCAGAAGCAUGAAGGGCGCUCUGGGAAGGCCCACUUGGAAGAGCAGGAGAGGAGGCACUGUAGGGCGGAGGCCACCGGUUUGGGAAUCAGGGGUGUCACUCCAAACAGCGUCAAUGCAAACGGCAAAUUAUUCGCCUCAGAAGCGGAGUUCGAGGUGGGAACUUAAGGCAUCACCUGCCCUAGGGCUGCAAAUAGUGACAGCUGGCCUCUCGCGGCACCUCUGAGUCCUGCCUGUCUCUGUUUCGAUUCCCCCUCCUGGUGCCCCCAGGACUGCAGGGAGCGCCCGCUCCGCCUUCAACUCCACUUUGUUCCAAAAAAAUGUCACGGGACCGCGUCCAAGUCACGUGCCCAUCCACGAGCCAACAACGGUGGCCCGGGGCGGCGUGGCUUCCUCUGAUUGGCCAGACCUGGGCCACGCGGCCUCCCCUGGAGCCAGUAAGAGAGAGUGGCCGCAGCAAGCGGGCUGGGACCCUGAGAGCGGAAUUGGAGCUGGGCUGGUGGAACCCGGGGCGGUCCCUGAGCUUCUUUCUGUCCCCGUGCUGGUGGGGGUCCAUGGCGCAGAAGGUGCUGGCGGGGAGAAGCAUGUCACCCAGAGAUCUGCAGGCCCUGGCAGACGGCGGGCCACAGUGACGCUUGCUCCAGCUGCGUGCACCUCUGAAUCAAAGACCCAGCAGGUUCCUCGCGUGGGGGCAGAUGUCCUGUAUUGAUGUGCCACUUGCCACUUGGAGCCCCCAGCCUGGAAACGUGGAAGCCUGGCCACUCGCAGAUCGCCAAGCCCAGUCCUCCGAGUCAGAAAUGUUGAUUUGUUUCAGUAACGUGAGCAUGGGGGAGGGUGGGGCGGAAGAGAGGAAAGUGAGCAAGAGAGACAGUGAGUCAAAAACCAUGAAGCUGACUGAGACAGAGACUGGGAGAGACAGACACACUCAGCAGGAGAACCACCGAGAAAGAACAAACAACACAGAGAGGCUAAUAAUACUAAGGGAUGGAGCCCGAGAUGGAAGGACACAAAUUAAGAGCAGGGAAGAGACACAGAGAGAGAAAACCAGACCGAAGAGAGCCAGAUGGAUUGAGAUUAGCAAACAAUAAAAAUAAAAAUAAA